GUAACUCUGAAACAAAUUUUAUAAAAAUUGUGAAAUAUAAGUCUUUACAUGCCCCUGUUCCCUAUGAUUAUGUUAGUAAAGAUUUACGCUCAUUAUAAAGAAUAUGGCAUUAAUAGUGUGACUCAGGUAGGAAAAGAAAUUUACCGAGAUAUUUAAUUUCUGAGAUGAUUAUGACAUACCAUGUCAGCGCAGUUUUGGAAGUUCGGCUAAUUUGAAAAUUUUAGUAAUUUUCUGUAAAGUGAUUACAGGCUCCUUGAGCAGAUGCUGACAAAGUAUAUAUAUUCUAAGCCUUGUAUGAUAUGUGUUUUAUGUUGCAGUAGUAAGCUGCCCCUGAUUUGCAUUGUUCAUCCUGUAGUUUGAUUUCUAUGAUGAAUGAAACAAAGUUCUGCUCAGAUUUUUAAACUGUUAAAUAUAAAAGUCAUCAGUGUCACAUCAUGAUAUGGUUUAUGCUGCCCUGAUUGGUAUAAUAUUUAGUAGUCCUGGCUUCUGUAUAUUUCAUUGGGUUUGAAUCCUCUGGGAGGCAUGAUGUUUGUGUGGCUUAAUGACAUUAUAAAUAUAUGGUGAGCUGAAAUCCUGUUAAGUGGCUUAGCGACAGCGAUUGGGAAAGAGGAGUGUCUUCAGGCCUUACCCUUGGGGGUUGAUCUCCAUGAAAAUCGGGACAGAACUGAGCAAAGUGAUCCUGUGGCCUAUUAUGCUGGUAAAGGCCCAUGCAAUUUAAAAAGAUUCGAAGACAACUAUGGAUUUAAUAUGAAAAAACAUCUUAAUUGCAGAUAUUUACAAAAUUUAGAAGCAGUAGAUAUGCAAAAAUGAUAAAGCUUAUUUUCAAAACAUAAAAUUUUACAUCAAAAGAUUAAAGGUGCUAUACAAAAUGCUGUUUAGUGGAACUGACUUGGAAUGAUGUGUAGCAGGUGUUGGCAACCUUUUUUUGGCUGUGGGUUAAAAUCAACCACAAUGUGUGUAUUAAGAUGUUUUGGGCCAGUGGUGUUUUCAUUUUAAAACCAUCAGUUUGGGUGAAUAAUAAGUUUGUUUGAGAAAAUAAUUCUAAUAUGCUUUAAACUUUAAACGUAAAAAUUUAAAUUACAAUUUUACGUAUAAAAACAAACGUAAGUGAAUUUUAUUUAUAACAUUUUAAUAACAAAAGCAUCUGAAUUUUUGGUGUUUAAGCUCUGCCUGUUCUUACUUAAAAUAAAUUUUGUGUGUGAAAAUAUUUGCUUGCAUUUAUAAGUUGAACAAAAUGCCGAUUUUUUUCGCUACUGAAGUCAUUCUUGGACUACUGAACAUCUCAGAGUGCAUGAGGAGAAUUGAGCUAACAGUAUUAAUGUUCUCAGAUGUCAAAGAAUUAUAGAACAGCACUGCCAAACUUAUCAAUUUCUUCUUGAAAUUAUACUACAAUUUAAAUUUAAAAAUAAAAAUGUGUGUUCUUGACUGGAACUUUGUAAUCAAACAAAAAUGUUAUUGUUAUUUAGUUUCAAUUAAUGUUUUUAUAUAUUCUUCAAGUGUUUGUUUCAUAUUUGCCUUUUACCUUAUUUCUGAAACUGAAGUGGGUUGCUCUGUGACCUGUGGGUCAUAGAAUGCUCAGACCUGGUGUAUAAAAUUGUCAUCCUUUUUUCAUGAAAGUGCCUGCUGUCACAAGGGCCAAUUUGAAAGUUUUGCCAUAUGGUCAUUAUAAUCCUGGUUUUUGGUAUCUGUGUUUAGUAUCUUUGUCUCCUUUUGUCAUUCAACUGAUUGUCUGCUUCAUUUUAGUGUGCUUGCCCCCCCCCAAAAAAAACACCAUAUACGAGGGAUAAUAUGCAAGUUAGAUAAAAAAGUGCAGCCUUAACUUUUAGUCUCAGCAGCGAUGCAGUUCUUUCUGAAGAAGUACAGAAUUGCCUCAAUGAAGGCAAUGAUGCCUAGAUGCAUGAGGAGUUAUAGUUUUGGUGCUUUUUGGACUUUUCAUUGCUAUAAUUUAAAAAAAAAAACAGUCUUGGUUAGCUUUGAACCAUUUUUCUGAAUAAGUAUUAGAUGAGAAAUUUUACAUAUUCUGGAUGUUUCAGAAGUGAAAUAUUUAGAAGAAAUGUGGGAAUACAAAUUUUUUUUUUUUUUUUUUUUUUUUUUUUUUUUUGCUAAAAGUUGGAGAAUAGAAAAACUAAAAUAAUUUAAAUGGAUUGAAUUUCAUUGUUUCCUUUUGUUUUGGGGAGGGUUAGCACUCAUUACCUUUUUUUCCUACAGCUUAGAAACCAGCAGAAUAUAGCUAACACCAUGAAAUAUGUUCUAGAAGAAUCGGCAUGAUUGGUGGAAAAAUAAAUUACAAUAAAUAAAUAAAAAUAUAAAAUAUAUCAUAAGGGCAAAAAUUUUAAUGCUUCAGUUUAAAGCAUUUUUAUAAUGAGUUAAGCCAUCAUGUAAUUCCUUUUUUAUAGCAAUGUUUUUAAUUACAUAAAGCAAUGAAACGGUGCUUGAAAAUUUUUCAUCAUUAACAUAUUUUCAAAAAACUUAAUUUUAUGGAAUGCCUUUGUGUAUUCCUUGAUGGUUCCUUGAAUAUCAUGAUCUUCCUUUACGGCCAUAAAGACUGUUCAUCAUUUAAUACAGCUUUCAUGAGUCACACAUGUAGCUUGAAAGGUGAAGGUAGAAAAUUAUAGAGGAUUUAUUUUCAGCAUAUAAAAUUUCUGAGUUGAAUGAAUUGUGUGCUUUUAAAAGAUAUAGAGUGUUCCAAGCUUGUGGCAUCAUUCUGGCUGCUGCUAUGUAAAGAAUAUUCUUAACAUCAGCAUUCAGUAUGUUUAGUGACUAUAAGGAUGUGAUCAAAGUUCAUUUCUUAACUAUAUUUAUGUAAUAUAAAAUGAGCUGAAAACUUACCUCAUCUGAGAAAUCUUGUGAAGAGACCUUGCUUUGAUUACAAAAAUUAAUCUUUAUUUAUGUAUGUUAUAUUACUCACUUGAGGAAUGAACAUUGGACAUUUUUAUUGGUUGUCACUCUAGCAUCAUGUAUUUCAUAGAACUUGUUAUGUAAUAAUUAUGUAACAGGCAGAUGCAGACAUUCUUUUAAUAUAUUUUGUUAAUGGAAAGUGGGAAAACUAACUGACUGGAUUCUUGUGUCUCUAGGAUUAGAAUUAUUUGAUAGUUAAGCAGAGCAGAGCUCUCAUGACCAGUGAACAGCUGUCUCCUUUUGGUCAGUUAAGGAUAUUUCUUGAUGAAGAUAUCAGAUGUCCAGAAAAAUAUACAGUAAGAAACAUAAUCAGUUAUUUUUGUAAGCCUUAAAAAUGUUUCCUAUUAAAUUCUUUGUUUUCCUUGCA
Long non-coding RNA from Stegodyphus dumicola, 3265 nucleotides. NCBI's taxonomy places the organism in Eukaryota, Metazoa, Arthropoda, Arachnida, Araneae, Eresidae. The record is from RefSeq and is a predicted model, not a curated record.